CACAACUUCAAGCUAAUGCCUCGGGCUUAUUUAACAGUAUUAUCAUGUGAAAGACACAGCUGUGGAGAGGCAAAGGGUGACAAGGUAGCACAUUUGUACAUAAUAAGGCUGGCCUGGGGAUGGAGGGAGUCCCUGCCCUGACUGUGACUCAGUGAGACUCUUUGCCUGGUCCUAGUCCAAGAGAAACGCAUGCUAUGAUCUCACUGAAGUCUGAAGUGACUCUGAAACUUUGCAGUAAAAAGAAAAUUUCAUCCUUUAAGAUGAGUGGCCCUGGAACCACGGCAGCCAUAUUGCCACCAGCUGGAAGACGAAGCCAACGGUGGGAGAAGACAGAGCUGGUCGAAUCCCCCAGGAGUAAAAUGCAGCCUGUAGUACCCUUCCUGGAUUGUAUCUUACUUGGAGUCUUCUUGUUCUGGGAGGCAAUAAAUUUCUUUGUUAUUUAAGCCAUG
RNAcentral lists this long non-coding RNA (449 nucleotides) under Homo sapiens (human). RNAcentral describes it as "non-protein coding lnc-NABP1-2:3". Lineage: Eukaryota; Metazoa; Chordata; Mammalia; Primates; Hominidae. The record is from RNAcentral.